CAGUUCGGAUUGUAGUCUGCAACCCGACUACAUGAAGCCGGAAUCGCUAGUAAUCGCGGAUCAGAAUGCCGCGGUGAAUACGUUCCCGGGUCUUGUACACACCGCCCGUCACACCAUGGGAGUCGGAAAUGCCCGAAGUCAGUGACCUAACCGAGAGGGAGGAGCUGCCGAAGGCGGGGCCGGUAACUGGGGUGAAGUCGUAACAAGGUAUC
This 212-nucleotide ribosomal RNA is filed under the name uncultured bacterium. RNAcentral's name for it is "partial 16S ribosomal RNA". It matches the Rfam family "Bacterial small subunit ribosomal RNA", at positions 1289 to 1500 of the family's 1533-position model. The record is from RNAcentral.